RNAcentral lists this ribosomal RNA (19 nucleotides) under Oidiodendron tenuissimum. Its description in RNAcentral is "partial 28S ribosomal RNA". Lineage: Eukaryota; Fungi; Ascomycota; Leotiomycetes; Myxotrichaceae. The record is from RNAcentral.
UGGUUGACCUCGGAUCAGG